UACGUAGGGUGCAAGCGUUGUCCGGAAUUACUGGGCGUAAAGGGCGCGUAGGCGGCUUGGCAAGUGGAAGGUGAAAUCCCUCGGCUUAACCGAGGAACUGCCUUCCAGACUGUUAGGCUUGAGACCGGGAGAGGUGAGUGGAAUUCCCAGUGUAGCGGUGAAAUGCGUAGAUAUUGGGAGGAACACCAGUGGCGAAGGCGGCUCACUGGACCGGUACUGACGCUGAGGCGCGAAAGCGUGGGGAGCAAACGGG
RNAcentral lists this ribosomal RNA (253 nucleotides) under uncultured bacterium. RNAcentral describes it as "partial 16S ribosomal RNA". It matches the Rfam family "Bacterial small subunit ribosomal RNA", at positions 524 to 776 of the family's 1533-position model. The record is from RNAcentral.